Molecule: ribosomal RNA, 447 nt
Filed under: Luteimonas sp.
Lineage: Bacteria; Pseudomonadati; Pseudomonadota; Gammaproteobacteria; Lysobacterales; Lysobacteraceae
Description: bacterial SSU rRNA
Rfam family: Bacterial small subunit ribosomal RNA
Source: RNAcentral
GGCGAACGGGUGAGUAAUACAUCGGAAUCUGCCCUAUCGUGGGGGAUAACGUAGGGAAACUUACGCUAAUACCGCAUACGACCUACGGGUGAAAGCAGGGGAUCUUCGGACCUUGCGCGAUUGGAUGAGCCGAUGUCGGAUUAGCUAGUUGGCGGGGUAAAGGCCCACCAAGGCGACGAUCCGUAGCUGGUCUGAGAGGAUGAUCAGCCACACUGGAACUGAGACACGGUCCAGACUCCUACGGGAGGCAGCAGUGGGGAAUAUUGGACAAUGGGCGCAAGCCUGAUCCAGCCAUGCCGCGUGGGUGAAGAAGGCCUUCGGGUUGUAAAGCCCUUUUGUUGGGAAAGAAAAGCAUUCGGUUAAUACCCGAGUGUUCUGACGGUACCCAAAGAAUAAGCACCGGCUAACUUCGUGCCAGCAGCCGCGGUAAUACGAAGGGUGCAAGCG